Molecule: ribosomal RNA, 468 nt
Filed under: uncultured bacterium
Lineage: Bacteria
Description: bacterial SSU rRNA
Rfam family: Bacterial small subunit ribosomal RNA
Source: RNAcentral
CCUCCAGACUCCUACGGGAGGCAGCAGUGAGGAAUAUUGGUCAAUGGGAGAGAUCCUGAACCAGCCAAGCCGCGUGAGGGAAGACGGCCCUAUGGGUUGUAAACCUCUUUUGUCGGAGAACAAAACCCGGGACGUGUCCCGGACUGCGUGUAUCCGAAGAAAAAGCAUCGGCUAACUCCGUGCCAGCAGCCGCGGUAAUACGGAGGAUGCGAGCGUUAUCCGGAUUUAUUGGGUUUAAAGGGUGCGUAGGCGGGAUGCCAAGUCAGCGGUAAAAAUGCGGUGCUCAACGCCGUCGAGCCGUUGAAACUGGCGUUCUUGAGUGGGCGAGAAGUAUGCGGAAUGCGUGGUGUAGCGGUGAAAUGCAUAGAUAUCACGCAGAACUCCGAUUGCGAAGGCAGCAUACCGGCGCCCUACUGACGCUGAGGCACGAAAGCGUGGGUAUCGAACAGGAUUAGAUACCCGUGUACU